UGGGGAAUAUUGCACAAUGGAGGGAACUCUGAUGCAGCGACGCCGCGUGAACGAAGAAGGCUUUCGAGUCGUAAAGUUCUUUUAUAUGGGAAGAUAAUGACGGUACCAUAAGAAGAAGCCCCGGCUAACUACGUGCCAGCAGCCGCGGUAAUACGUAGGGGGCUAGCGUUGCCCGGAAUCACUGGGCGUAAAGGGUUCGCAGGCGGAAAUGCAAGUCAGGUGUAAAAGGCAGUAGCUUAACUACUGUAAGCAUUUGAAACUGCAUAUCUUGAGAAGAGUAGAGGUAAGUGGAAUUUUUAGUGUAGCGGUGAAAUGCGUAGAUAUUAAAAAGAAUACCGGUGGCGAAGGCGACUUACUGGGCUCAUUCUGACGCUGAGGAACGAAAGCGUGGGUAGCAAACAGG
RNAcentral lists this ribosomal RNA (403 nucleotides) under bacterium. RNAcentral describes it as "partial 16S ribosomal RNA". It matches the Rfam family "Bacterial small subunit ribosomal RNA", at positions 355 to 776 of the family's 1533-position model. The record is from RNAcentral.